This 3508-nucleotide long non-coding RNA is filed under the name Equus caballus (horse). Its description in RNAcentral is "lncRNA (ENSECAG00000052818.1)". Lineage: Eukaryota; Metazoa; Chordata; Mammalia; Perissodactyla; Equidae. The record is from RNAcentral.
AGAGAACGUCUCCAGGGCUGUGGCGUUUCCUCAUGCCCCCUGUUCUCAGAAAGCCCACACUGCAGGCUGCUGGCGAGAAGACCUCAGGAAGCAGGUCCUGUGAAGAGGUUCAAUCCAAUUUGCCUUCCCCAUGCUCCAGCAUUGACCUGGACAUUGGAAUUGAGAAAGAAAUGGGAAGAAAAGGAGGACUCUGCAGAGGUGAAUGAGAGGCACAGACUUCUCAUUGUUUUGGAGGAAAACAGAAUGGUGUGGUAUCCCAGAAGCUAAGACAACAAAGGGUUUCAAGGAGGAAGAGAACAACUGCAUCAACGCCAAAUGCUGCUGAGAGGUUGAGGAAGAACUGGACUGAUGAUCUCACACAGGCCUGAGGCUGUGGCCAAGGCAGGAAAAUGUGGGAAUGGCCUUUCUCUGAACGUUGACCUCUGCCACCUGCCAAGCACCUUAUGAUUUCCAGUUGUACUUCCUCACCAGCCUCGCUCAUAGAUAAGCCUUCCUAUCUUAGUAAUAAUUAAAUGUUCUUGUCCGAAACCAAUAGAGUAAAGAAGGAAGAUUAGCCCUGAGCUAACAUCUGCUGCCAGUCCUCCUCUCUUUGCUGAGGAAGAAGCCAACAUCCAUGCCCAUCUACCUCUACUUUAUAUCUGGGACACCUGCCACAGCAUGUCAUGCCAAGCUGUGUGUAGGCCUGCACCCGGGAUCCAAACCUGCAAAUCCCAGGCUGCAGAAGCAGAGCAUGCGUACUUAACCACUGCGCCACCGGGCCACCCCAAUGUACAUGUAAUUUUUUUAAUUACUCAGACUUUGUCUCAAGGAGUAUACUGAUAGUAGAGGAAACUGACAAGAAAAUAACAAGUGCAACAUAGAAUUUCUAAAAGUGCUUUAAUAGAUGUAUAUGCAGCAUGAUGUAGGAGCACAAAAGCAUAUAAAAAUGAAGCAAAUAAUUUUGAAAUAGGAAGAUGGGUUAAACCUUGGCUAAGUAGGUGGCAUUUAUACUGGGGUUUGAGGAAGAGGUUUGGAAUAGGCAGAGAAGUGAAUGUGUUCUACUUCUUCAAUGUUCUACUCGUCCAUUCCUGGUUUUCCUUAAACCACUAAGCAUUGAGGAGUUUGUUUUCUAAAUCUUCACAGCCCAGUUUUAUUUACUAGAAGUGCCGCCUCAUCAGACUUGGUGACUGUUCUCUUAGCAGAUCAAGGUUCCUGGGCAACAUCUUGCAGCCUUUACAGAAUCAGAGCUUCUUGCCCUGUGUGGUAGCUCUUCACUGCAGCUGCCCCCGCAGUCCAGGCACUAGCAACAGAAAUGAGUCAAGGAGCCUUCAUCUUUGUGUAAAUAAGGGCCCUGUUGUAUCGUCACGCUGCAGGGGCAGGGUGUGGUCUGCAGGCCGCAGGGUGAUGCCUCAAACUGUCUGGACUCAAAGUCUAAGCGCCGCAUCCAGGUUCUUAAGCAAGUGAUUGAGCCUGUGCAACAUGUCUCUCCUGUUCCCCCAUCCCCUCCAAGACUGGAGAUGAGCUGGGCAGGGUGACCUGUGUCACAAGCCGAUUGUCAGAAUAUCACAUUAACAAUCAUUUGUUAGGUCCUCUUUCCUGUUUUGUCAGUAAAGCUCUGUUGAGACUGAUGGUGAGGGGAGAUUCAGGCCGAGGUAGUCCAACUUCCGCUGAGUGGCUUAUGACUUCAGACAUGUAUCCUCGUGUUGGAGAGUGAUGUUCAUCAGAGAACAUUUUCAGCCCAAUGAUAUAUUCAAUCCGGGCCACAUUUUAUUGUCAUUAAUGAGACUGCAUGCUCUUUAAUAUUUUUUUACUUUUUUCAAAAUUAGGUAUUACAGCCCCCAACUUAACAAUAUUUAAAACUCUCCAUCUCUGCCACUCAUGGGCUUGUCAUCUCUGCUCUACUUGAGUCUGUCUACACAUGCAUUUUCUCUCCUGGUUAUUUGAAAUGACUUAAGAUGUUCAUACACAGUGUGUCUUCCGGUUGUGCAAAUAUUUUCGUGUUGCUCAUGAUUAAGUUGCUUGCAUGUGCCCGAUAGAGUCUGUUGAAUUUCUAAGGUCACAGUAAUUGGCAGAUGGAAGAAGUUCCAUCCUAUGAACUUUGAGGAAGGCUCUGGCUGCCUUCCUGCUUGACAGAGCAGGGAGGGAGAUGAAUUCUGCUUAAGCUGACAGCGGGCUGCAUAACAAACAGCCCAAGCCAUCAAACUGUAUUAUUUUUAACUAACACGCAUUAUUCCCUUUGAAAAGUAAAAUCUCCUCUUGAUAGUUUUCCUCCACCAAAGAAUGCACUUUCCUCUCCCUAGAAAUGGCAGCUCUGCCUCUCCUAGAUGCUCAACUCGGACAGUUAUUGCCCUAAAUGACGGAUGAGCUCACUUCCCAGCAGCUCAUCUCGGCCACUCGGCAGCAGCCCUAGACAGUCUGGCAAACCUCUUCUGGUCCGUAGCGUUCUCUCAGACCUGCCCUGGCUCCUCUCCGCUGAGCUGGACUUAGUCCUCUCAAAUCUGUUGACCUACCUCAGCCCUUCUCUCUUGCUGGCAGUUAUUUCUCCUUAGCCUCCCUUAUUUCCCUGCAGGCUCAAUUUCUUAUGUAAAUGUUGGGUGACCACUUUGGGCCAGCUGCUGUCUCCAUGCGAUUGCUCACCAGAACAGUAGGUUUCCGGAGCUGGCUCUCCUAAAGAGAACUUUCUAUCCCUCAGUGGAACUGCAUUCUAUAAAGGGAUUGUGUUCUCAGCCCUUACGUAAAGAACGAGAACCAUUUAGAGUCAAACUUAACUUGGGAAAUCUCACAUUGGGGACCACACACCACUCUCAAUAGGUCCAGCACAACCAGAUUUGCCUCCAAGGUUGGAACAGAUUGCUAUAUCCUUUUUUGGACAUGAGACGAAUUAAUUUGUUCUUUUAUUUUAGUAGCCAUUGCGUAAAAUCACACCUAGCGCGGCAAGAAGUUCACGCUAUAAGAAGCAAGGGGGAAUGAAACUCAACUGCAUUAAUAGUCUAUGGAUGCUUCACCACUCAUGUUCUCUGUGCAUGUUCUCUCUUUCUCUCUCCCCCUCCAUCCAUCCCUCCAUCCCCCUUUCCUCCCUUCUUCCCUGCCACCUCCUUCUCUCCCCUUCUCCCCCACCUCCUUCUCUCUCUGUCUCUCCCUUCCCUCUCUCCCUGGCUCCAUCUCACCAUCUUCUCUUCUCUUUCUUCUCUUCUCUUCUAUUCCUUCUCCCUCUCUCUCUCUCUUCUUCUCCAUUUUAUCCUGCUCCUCCUCCUUUCCCUCCUUCCCUCUUCCCUCUGACGCACACACAGGAAUCAUUGCAUUUAACGGUAAGCUGUCUUCACGUACCUGUAUUAAAAAGCUGAAUCAUCCUGUUCUAUCCCACCUCAAGGUCUUAGUGAUCAUCUCUGAAAGCUUGGCCUUAACUUGCCCCACUGUCUUCCUGUCGUUUUCUUCAUUUCCACAGUCUCUCUCUCCUCCCUGUGAUCCACCCACGUCAAUCUUACUUUUCCAUCUUUAUUCUCUCGGAGGUCUUGAUCUCCUUCCCCCC